Long non-coding RNA from Cynoglossus semilaevis (tongue sole), 572 nucleotides. RefSeq lists it as uncharacterized. The record is from RefSeq and is a predicted model, not a curated record. NCBI's taxonomy places the organism in Eukaryota, Metazoa, Chordata, Actinopteri, Pleuronectiformes, Cynoglossidae. The transcript is spliced from 2 exons.
CGUGGGGUAAAAAAAAAGAGACUCUUGGUAAAUGUGUUUCUUUACUGUGGUUUCUGCCAGUGCAGACAGAGGGCAGUGCCUGUAUUAACCCGUCUGGCACUGCUGCAUUCUUGUCUCAUCCUGUCAGCAGGGAGGCCGAGGGAGAGGCGUUGGCUUUAACAGAGCGCAGACUUCACCACACUGGGGUCUGUUCUGGGAGUAACUAAUCCAGUCAGCUCUGUGAAUGACUCAUGCCGUUGCUACGACAUGGCACAGCAUCCUCUCUUGAUGUGACCUCAACACAACUGAGACACAAAAGCUGUGCUGUCAGGUUGACACGUCACAUAUGUCUGGUAUUUAAGGUCCAAUCCAGGUUUCCCAGGGCAACGUCAAGCACCUAUCAAAGUCUAUUUUUAAACUUUGUCGUCGCCUCAAAGUGGAGAAAGAACUACAAAGAUGUGAGUUCUUAACUAACUUUUAUUUUUCUAACUAUGAACAAAUAAUUAGAGUGCUAUAGGUAGUCGAAAAUAAACAAUAAGAAGGAACGAAAAAAAAAUCACUGACACGUUACAUUCAGAAUAUUUCAUCUGCAC